GUAUAUGGCAUGUGGGCUAGUUUCAGACAGGU
RNAcentral lists this non-coding RNA (32 nucleotides) under Homo sapiens (human). The record is from RNAcentral. Lineage: Eukaryota; Metazoa; Chordata; Mammalia; Primates; Hominidae.